This 1132-nucleotide ribosomal RNA is filed under the name Candidatus Phytoplasma trifolii. RNAcentral describes it as "bacterial SSU rRNA". It matches the Rfam family "Bacterial small subunit ribosomal RNA", at positions 211 to 1349 of the family's 1533-position model. The record is from RNAcentral. Lineage: Bacteria; Bacillati; Mycoplasmatota; Mollicutes; Acholeplasmatales; Acholeplasmataceae.
AUGCUUUAAAGAAGGGGCUCUGGCGCCACAUUAGUUAGUUGGUAGGGUAAAAGCCUACCAAGACGAUGAUGUGUAGCUCGGACUGAGAGGUUGAACAGCCACAUUGGGACUGAGACACGGCCCAAACUCCUACGGGAGGCAGCAGUAGGGAAUUUUCGGCAAUGGAGGAAACUCUGACCGAGCAACGCCGCGUGAACGAUGAAGUAUUUCGGUAUGUAAAGUUCUUUUAUUGAAGAAGAAAAAGUAGUGGAAAAACUAUAUUGACGUUAUUCAAUGAAUAAGCCCCGGCUAACUAUGUGCCAGCAGCCGCGGUAAGACAUAGGGGGCGAGCGUUAUCCGGAAUUAUUGGGCGUAAAGGGUGCGUAGGCUGUUAGAUAAGUCUAUAAUUUAAUUUCAGUGCUUAACGCUGUCUUGUUAUAGAAACUGUCUUGACUAGAGUGAGAUAGAGGCAAGCGGAAUUCCAUGUGUAGCGGUAAAAUGUGUAAAUAUAUGGAGGAACACCAGAAGCGUAGGCGGCUUGCUGGGUCUUUACUGACGCUGAGGCACGAAAGCGUGGGUAGCAAACAGGAUUAGAUACCCUGGUAGUCCACGCCGUAAACGAUGAGUACUAAGUGUCGGGGUAAAACUCGGUACUGAAGUUAACACAUUAAGUACUCCGCCUGAGUAGUACGUACGCAAGUAUGAAACUUAAAGGAAUUGACGGGACUCCGCACAAGCGGUGGAUCAUGUUGUUUAAUUCGAAGAUACACGAAAAAUCUUACCAGGUCUUGACAUACUCUGCAAAGCUAUAGAAAUAUAGUGGAGGUUAUCAGGGAUACAGGUGGUGCAUGGUUGUCGUCAGUUCGUGUCGUGAGAUGUUAGGUUAAGUCCUAAAACGAGCGCAACCCUUGUCGUUAAUUGCCAGCACGUAAUGGUGGGGACUUUAGCGAGACUGCCAAUUAAACAUUGGAGGAAGGUGAGGAUUACGUCAAAUCAUCAUGCCCCUUAUGAUCUGGGCUACAAACGUGAUACAAUGGCUGUGACAAAGAGUAGCUGAAACGCGAGUUUUUAGCCAAUCUCAAAAAAGCAGUCUCAGUUCGGAUUGAAGUCUGUAACUCGACUUCAUGAAGUGGAAUCGCUAGUAAUCGCGAAU